GGGGGCGCACUGGUUUCGACCGGUUUACAUGUGCCGCCGAGCUGCGUGUCGGGGAUCCCAGGUCACCCCGCUAAUCAUCCCGGGAAAGGCAAUUUACUUGCCGACAACAACUACGCACUGGCAGCUUGAUCUGCCCGUUGCUGCAGAGAGUGCCCGUGGCUCUGCAGGAACGCCAUUUAGCGGGCUGGUCACAAAGCUGCGCCUCAGGGCCGCGUGACGAGACAUUUCUGAGGCUGGUGUCGAAGCAACGUGCCCACGGGCGGCUUCGACACGAGAUCUUUGCCGGUGGGAUACACACGUAGACGCUUGGAUGAGCUCUGAUUCUGGGACGGGGGUUCGACUCCCCCCGCCUCCACCA
This 358-nucleotide transfer-messenger RNA is filed under the name Planctomycetota. RNAcentral describes it as "GCA-2862085 sp007751475 Standard tmRNA". It matches the Rfam family "transfer-messenger RNA". From Rfam's summary of the family: Bacterial tmRNA, also known as 10Sa RNA or SsrA, is named for its dual tRNA and mRNA-like properties. Its role is to liberate the mRNA from a stalled ribosome. Lineage: Bacteria; Pseudomonadati. RNAcentral also lists the same sequence under 1 other name. The record is from RNAcentral.